Molecule: non-coding RNA, 79 nt
Organism: Favolaschia claudopus
Lineage: Eukaryota; Fungi; Basidiomycota; Agaricomycetes; Agaricales; Mycenaceae
Source: the annotation of a GenBank genome assembly
GGUUGCGUAGUGUAGCGGUUAUCACUCCAGAUUCUGAAGAAGAUUUCUGGCAACCCCGGUUCGAUUCCGGGCGCGACCU